UGAGGCAACUGGGUUGGGAAGUCUAGGUGCUGCGGUCCUUGCCCACCGGGCCUCACCUCUGGUGACUUUCCACUCGGGAGGGCUGGGACGCCGAGCACCACGCCACUGUGCAGGGGGCAUCUGAGCCCGGACCAGCGGGGCUUGUCAAGAUGAGGGCCCUACAGGGACGGUUGGAAGGAAACCCAAGGUCCUCCCCCUCCCGGGGUCCCUUGUGGCGCAUGGAACAAGGGCUCUGGGCCCAGGCGGGCCUGGGGAGCGGGGCGUGUGCGCUCCAUCCAGAGUGGGCUUGGAAGGCCCGAGCGAGAAGGCGGUUCUGAGGCUGAGGAUGGAAGAGGCCUAAGGCUCUGAGGGAGGAGGAGCUGAAGGAGGAACCGGGUCUGAGAGAGAAGCAGAUGGUCAGAGGCAGGAGGCGAGUGUCUGCGCGAAGGUCUGAGGGAGACGGCUUGCAACAGAGAGGUCCUUCUGUCCGGACCUGGGUUUCGAUCCUGACGCCCCCGCUCACAGUGUCUCGGGUCACAGACACGGCUGAGAAUCCCUGC
This is a long non-coding RNA of Phacochoerus africanus (Common warthog), 539 nucleotides long. RefSeq lists it as uncharacterized. The record is from RefSeq and is a predicted model, not a curated record. The transcript has 3 exons. NCBI's taxonomy places the organism in Eukaryota, Metazoa, Chordata, Mammalia, Artiodactyla, Suidae.